GUGACUGUACUUGGUAUUGGUUACAUUUGUUAGUCACUCAGUGUAACCACACAGUCAGUCACAUAUAUCAAUCAAUACAAGUGGUUCCUGCCGACAGGGUCUGUCUAGUUAUCAGAUUUCCUGUGCGAUGGUUCUGCACAUC
This is a non-coding RNA of Trichosurus vulpecula (common brushtail), 142 nucleotides long. NCBI's taxonomy places the organism in Eukaryota, Metazoa, Chordata, Mammalia, Diprotodontia, Phalangeridae. The record is from RefSeq and is a predicted model, not a curated record.